Molecule: ribosomal RNA, 485 nt
Filed under: uncultured bacterium
Lineage: Bacteria
Description: bacterial SSU rRNA
Rfam family: Bacterial small subunit ribosomal RNA
Source: RNAcentral
CUGGCGGCGUGCCUAAUACAUGCAAGUCGAACGGUCUUUCUAUGGAAGCUUGCUUCCACUGAGAAGAUAGUGGCGAACGGGUGAGUAACACGUGGGUAACCUGCCCAUAAGAGGGGGGAUAACAUCCGGAAACGGGUGCUAAUACCGCAUAGUUUUCUUGAUCGCAUGAUCGGGAAAGGAAAGACGGCCUUUGUGCUGUCGCUUAUGGAUGGACCCGCGGCGUAUUAGUUAGUUGGUGAGGUGACGGCUCACCAAGACGAUGAUACGUAGCCGACCUGAGAGGGUGAUCGGCCACAUUGGGACUGAGACACGGCCCAGACUCCUACGGGAGGCAGCAGUGGGGAAUAUUGCACAAUGGGGGAAACCCUGAUGCCAGCAACGCCGCGUGAGUGAUGACGGCCUUCGGGUUGUAAAGCUCUGUCUUCAGGGACGAUAAUGACGGUACCUGAGGAGGAAGCCACGGCUAACUACGUGCCAGCCGCCGC